CAGUAGCCGCGGGAAUACGGAGGGUGCAAGCGUUAAUCGGAAUUACUGGGCGUAAAGCGCACGCAGGCGGUUUGUUAAGUCAGAUGUGAAAUCCCCGAGCUUAACUUGGGAACUGCAUUUGAAACUGGCAAGCUAGAGUCUUGUAGAGGGGGGUAGAAUUCCAGGUGUAGCGGUGAAAUGCGUAGAGAUCUGGAGGAAUACCGGUGGCGAAGGCGGCCCCCUGGACAAAGACUGACACUGAGGCACGAAAGCGUGGGGAGCAAACAGGAUUAGAUACCCCUGUAGUCCCUGUCUCUUAUAC
RNAcentral lists this ribosomal RNA (301 nucleotides) under uncultured bacterium. RNAcentral describes it as "partial 16S ribosomal RNA". It matches the Rfam family "Bacterial small subunit ribosomal RNA", at positions 509 to 807 of the family's 1533-position model. The record is from RNAcentral.